CCUGUGCUGCUUCAGGCAUGUGGUCCACAUAUCUAUGUACGUGCUUGGCUGGUACAUUUAUGAACAUUUAUUAUAUAUAUAAGACCUUAAAUUUUUUUAUUUCAGCAGAAUACAACAUAGGAGGUUAGAAUUCCUCACUUACACACACACACACACACACACACACACACACACACACACUUGAACACCAUCAUCUUUGUUUAAUUCUUGGGUGCAAUGAUGUAUUCUUCAUGUGUCCUAGCUAUUGCAACAUCUUUUUUUUACAGCGUGCAGGAGCUCUGAGGACCAAAUGCUGAGGGAUAGAUAGAUAGAUAGAUAAAACUUUAUUCGCAUUAGCCAAUGGCCAUAGCAACAAUAAAACAUUACAGUAUACGCAGAAAGGGAAAUUUGAUAUAAGAGCACAAUUUAAAGUCCUGAAUCAGCAGUCAGUUAGUGGCCCAUAUUCUGAUUGCCUCUGCUAUGAACCUAGCAACCUUUGCUGUUAUCUGCUCAUUUUGAUCUGAUAGAAGAAAGGACAUUGUGGCAGCGGUUGAGCGCCCUGGGAUGGUUAGUACAAGUGGGGUGAUGAUCUCGUUUCUCAGGUCUUUGUAGAGAGCGCAAUGCUGAGGGAAAUUGGGGUGUUUCAAGGGUCUUUCCCACACCCCAGAGGCAAAGUGGGGUGUCAAUAACCCCCUUCCCUCUGGACAUAGCUGUCAACUUACAGAUUUGAAAAUAAGGGACCCGCAGCCUCGGAAAUAAGGGAUGAGCAGCCAAAAGAAGGGAUUUUGCUUAGCUUAUGAGUUCCAUCGGCCCUUUCCCGCCCGAAAGGGAGGGAGAGAGACUCUCGCCCACGCCGCCCGCAAGCCCGGCACGAGGAGGUUGCGGCGCCGCAGUGGCCGCUGAAGCGCCGCCCUUCUGUGUCCCUCCCCAUCCCCUCCUCUUCCUCCUCCCUCAGGCGCCUCCUCAGCCGCAGCCGCCGCUGCCUCCGGCUUCCCCAGGCAGCGUGGUGGAAGUCUCGCAAGAGAGGGGCUGCCUGCCCACCCGCCGCCACCCGUCUUCUCACGACGCGCCCCUGAGGGGGGAAAAGGGAGAGACGUAGACGCGGCAGCUCGUGCGCAUGCUCUCUCUCAAGGCGAAGGACCCCGAGCCGCUGCUUCCCUCCUGAGCUAGGCGACCAUGAAACCCGGGAAAUUUAAGGGACAUCAUCAAUAAGGGACAGCAGCGGGACACGGCGCUGGGAUAAGGGAGUUUCCUGCCAAAUAAGGGACGGUUGACAGCUAUGCCUCUGGAUCAGAUUAGGGCUCCCACAAAGCAUUGUGUCACUCUGAGGUUUCUCUGCAUUUCUGAAUUUACAGCUCUAUGAUUUCCUGCGUGUUUCUUUAGGUCAGGGUCCUGUUUCUCUAGGUCAGGUCUAGGUCCUUUUUUUAGGAAGGAGGAAGGCCCAUUUGGGGGGGUGUUGGGUCCAAGUUGUUGCAUUUUUUUCAGGGAGGAGGUAAAAUGUUGACCUUUUUUUAGGGGAGCCACAGUUGUUCAGCUUCUUUGGGGGGAGCCAAUGAUCUACCAGUGAUCUACCGCAGAUGUCCAGUGAUCUACCGGUACAGGUAGAUCACGAUCUACCUGUUGGACAUGCCUGCUCUAGGUCAAUGAGUUUUGCAAAAUGGUGCCUGAAGAGCACAGAAGCACUCUGCUUUAUUUUUUGUUAAAACAGUAGCAGAUAACAUUUAAAAAAUAAAUAAAUUAAAAUCUUAGGGUUGUUGUUUUUAAUUCCACAUUACUCAGCUGUAACAAAAAAGAGUGAGCAAGCUAGAGCUCUUCAGAACUUGUCAGGCAGUGUUCCGGACAACAUCAUGUUGUAAAGCCUAUUAAAGGCCUGAAAGAUAAGAUCACUGUGAAGCUGUCAAGUUUUUAAAAAUGUACAAGGAAGAAUACACACAAUUUGUCCCACUCUUAAUUAUCUGAAACUAAGAAAGAGCAAGAGAGAAACCCCUCCUGCCCUUGAAAAAGAUGCUAAUAUAGAUUUUGGAUGUUCAGUUAGCCUGAUAAAAAUAUGGGCCUAAUAUGGAUGAUAGAGGAAACUGAAUACAGUGGUACCUCGGGUUAAGUACUUAAUUCGUUCUGGAGGUCUGUACUUAACCUGAAACUGUUCUUAACCUGAAGCACCACUUUAGCUAAUGGGGCCUCCUGCUGCCGCCGCACCGCCAGAGCCCAAUUUCUGUUCUUAUCCUGAAGCUAAGUUCUUAACCUGAAGAACUAUUUCUGGGUUAGCGGAGUGUGUAACCUGAAGCGUAUGUAACCUGAAGUGUAUGUAACCCGAGGUACCACUGUACUUUUGCUUUCCUCACAAAAAGCCCCUGGAUCUCUUAUGUCUGCAAUCUGACAGGCUUAAUCCACACUGGAGUGGCUCUUACACCUGCAAAUUUCAUCCACUUUGUCCAAAGGUGGAAAAAAAAGUUAUAGCUCUUUUUAGAUAAUCUGAUAGUGAAUGAGAAACACAGAGCUUUGUUCUAAGGAGAGUCGCUUGCAACACACACAAAAAAUAGAUUGACACAAAGAGAGAGCACUGAGUGACUCAGAACAUGCCAUUAAGAACAACAACAGAUACACAUAUAAGACAAAUCUAUGGCCAUGUGCACACUCCUACUAUUUUCCUUUUAAAAUAAAAAAAGGGAAUGUUAAGCUGAAAUGUGUUCUGGGGGAAGAAGGAUUUUCUUUUAUUUGGUCUGAAUCUUCCUGCAUCUCAAAGGUAAUCUAAUCCCAAACCCUGCCAAACUGAUAAAUUCACUUCUGCAUAGGUGGCUACACAGACGAUGCUCAAAGAUUUCCAGCAAAUGAGAGUUCGCCUCCUUCCAAGGAAGCUUGUUCCAUUGUCAAAUACCUCAUAUUUUCUGAAAAUAUUUUCUGGAUGCCUAUUGUGAAACCCUCUUGUGUGGAAUUCAAAACUGCUUGUUAGCAUCUGUGUGGCAGAGAAUUCCAUCGGUUAAGUGUGCUUCAGAAAAAGAAAAGAAAAGAAGAGCCUGUCUUGAAUCUCCUGCCCAUCAAUUUCAGUAGAUGACCUCAGGUUGUAUUGUUAGGAAAGGAGAGAGAAAAAUGUCUCUCUGUCUACUCAGGCUCCGGAGUACCUGAAAGUUGCCUCUGCUGAUUCGUAAUGUGACAUGCCUGGCUGCAUCUCAUGACUACCAUCUGGAAACUGCUCUGUGUUUUGAGAGAAAAGGUGAUGCCAAGACUGCUUAUAUAAUAUUCCUCUGCUGCAAAAAUAGGCUCAGGGACUGAAAAGUUAUAAUGAGCAGCACUCUUUGCAUAUAGAAGAAAUGGACAUCUGUAUUCCUGAUCGCUGGAGCAGCCUGCUAUGAAGCUUCAGAACAGGCUUCCCCAAUGGGGUGCCAUUUGGAUGUUUGGACCUACAAAUCCCAUCAACCCCAUCCAGCCUGGCCAGUUGUCAAGGAUGAUGGGAGUUGUAGUCCAGAACAUCUGUAGGGCAUCAGGUUGGAGAAGGUUGCUACAGAAGCAUUGCUUCAUAAAUUUGCUUCUGCACUUUUGCAGGAGAAUCCUAUUCAAAGGGGACUGACUCUCAUGUGCUUACAGGACUACAGCCAUAAUUUGCACAACUCUUUACAAUAUUCUUACUAUUAUUAUUUUGCAAUACAGUGGUACCUUGGGUUAAGUACUUAAUUCAUUCCGGAGGUCCGUUCUUAACCUGAAACUGUUCUUAACCUGAAACACCACUUUAGCUAAUGGGGCCUCCUGCUGCUGCCAUGCCGCCGGAGCACGAUUUCUGUUCUCAUCCUGAAGCAAAGUUCUUUUUUUUUUAUAAGAUAUUUAUUGAGAUUUUCAAAAUGUUACAAAAAAGAAAAGAAAAAAGAAAAAAAUACAAAAUAAAAAUGGUUAAAAACAACUCAAUCUUUCCAUUACUUAUUUUUCAUUAGCUUGUUUCCCGGACCUCCUCACGUCUCCCUUUUUUGUAUUCCAGUUCAGUUUGUUGGUUCAGCAAAUCCUUACCCUCUUUGUUUAUCCUAGUCUUUAAUCUUAAAAUAUUGUAACGUUAAAUUUUUACCUAUUAAUAAUCCAUUUUUCAUAUUCCCUUAUAGUAUUACAGCUGAAAACCACUUAAUUUCUAUCCAACAUCAUUCUAACAUUCAUUAAUUUUACAAUAUUUCUGUAGAUAGUCUUUAAAUUUCUUCCAAUCUUCUUCCACCGACUCUUCUCCCUGGUCUCGGAUUCUGCCAGUCAUUUCCGCCAGUUCCAUAUAGUCCAUCACCUUCAUCUGCCAUUCUUCCAGAGUGGGUAGAUCUUGUGUCUUCCAAUACUUUGCAAUGAGUAUUCUUGCUGCUGAGGCCCCAUGACUAGGAGCCUUCAAUGGCACUGUCAGGCAAAGAAUGUCCUGAGUGAGGAAUUAACACUUUAUUGUCAAGAGUGCACUUACGCUUCAUUUACAUUCAGUAUGAGACACUGUUGUCAUAUGCAUUGUGUGGUUGGGGGGAAAGAGAGAGGAGACAAAGAGGAGGGGAGAGUGAUGCAAGGGGAGGAAUAAUGAUCUUUCAUUCUAUUGCAUAGUUUUUUUGCAGGGUUUUUGUAUCAGUCCUUUACUCUCUCUCUCUCUCUCUCUCUCUCUCUCUCUCUCUCACACACACACACACACACACACACACACACACACACACACACAGUGGUACCUCGAGUUAAGUACUUAAUUCGUUCUGGAGCUCCGUUCUUAACCUGAAAUUGUUCUUAACCUGAAGACCACUUUAGCUAAUGGGGCCUUCUGCUGCUGCUGCGCUGCCGGAGCACGAUUUCUGUUCUCAUCCUGAAGCAAAGUUCUUAACCCGAGGUACUAUUUCUGGGUUAGCCGAGUCUGUAACCUGAAGCGUAUGUAACCCGAGGUACCACUGUAUAAACCUCCCAAAUAAAAUAAUCUGAUAACAAUGUCACUCACCUCUUUAAUUCUGUCUGCUUUCAUCUCCAAUUUGCCAGUCAGCAUGCAGCUCUUGAGAGAAUCUGUUCCACUGUCAAACAGCUCUGUCAGAAAGUUCCUCCUAAUGUUUAGUCGGAAUCUCCUUUCUUGUAAAUUGAAGCCAUGGGUUCGAGUCCUACCCUCCAGAGCAGGCAUAGGCAAACUCAGCCCUCCAGAUGUUUUGGACUACAACUCCCAUGAUCCCUGGCUAACAGGACCAGUGGCCAGGGAUGAUGGGAAUUGUAGUCCCAAAACAUCUGGAGGGCCAAGUUUGCCUAUGCCUGCUGCAGAGCAAGAGAAAACAAGCUUGUUCCCUCUUCCAUGUGACAGCCCUUAAGAUAUUUGAAGAUGGAUAUCAUAUCUCCUCUUAGUCUUCCCUUUUCCAGGCUAACCAUACCCAGCUCCCUCAAGUGCUCCUCGUAAGACUUGGCUUCCAGACCCUUGAUCAUCUUGGUUGCCCUCCUCUGUGUACCUUCCAGCUUGCCAAUAUCCUUCUUAAACUGCAGAGGGAAGUAUUCCAGCCAAGAAAAAUAACUCGAUGAGUGUGCGAAGCAGGGCUGGUGAGGGCUGUGACCUGGGGCAAAUUGGAGGGCCAGACAGAGAGGGCACAGGCCCAAAGUCCCACUCCUUUGUUCUAGAAAACAUCUGCCUCCAGAGGUUUUUAUUUUCUUGUUCAGGGACCAUAAAGGAUUAUUUUCCAAUCAGCCACAAGCCUCCCCUCAUGCUGAUUGACAGGCCUCGUUUGAUCUUACUCCCGCUUGUUGAAUAAUUUUGAUCAGCCGGCUAAUUUUAAACACUUUCAAAAGAAUAGCAGUGGGACUUGAGGCAUCUAUGGGACUUGGGUCUCUCUCUGUGUGCCCCCCCCCCUUUUGGGGGCAAUGAAAAUUCAUAGGAUUUCCAAAAUAAACUGUCACCAAUUCCUUCUGACAAGAGGGCUUGAACUGAGAACACUACAGAGGGGUGUCAGGGUGGGUUAUAUAGUAAUAUAGCAACGAUUGCUACAUAGUAGAAAUUAGAAUAAGCAGAUUUUAUGCAAAUCAAUGUCAUCUCGCGCACGUGUGUGUGUGUGUGUUAGUGAUCCAUUUCCUCUUACAGUCGUACCUUGGUUCUCAAAUGCUUUGGUACUCAAACAACUUGGAACCCAAACACUGCAAACCUGGAAGGAAGUGUUCCGGUUUGCGAACUUUUUUUGGAAGUCAAAUGUACUCCAUUUUGAGUGUUCUGCUACUGAUUUGAGUGCCACACUUCCGUUUUGAAUGUUAUGCUGAGGUCUGUCUGUUUUUGCUGUAUUCACCACGCUCUGUAGGCACUUCCUAUCAGUUGAUGUCAAACCAGUGUACCACACCGUGAUGCAGUAUGAAAGGACACUUUCUAUUGUUGACCGGUAGAAGGAGACCAUCAGAUGUUGAUUGACAUCCUUCUUCCGCAAUACUCUGAGGAGAUGGAGUCUCUGUUGGGCUUUCUUAACCACCUGGGUUGUAUUUAUUUUCCAAGUAAGAUCUUCACUGAACUCCUGACAAUGGCUAGUAGUCACCAAUAGGGAUGAUGGUGGUGCUGUGAUCUAAACCACUGAGCCUCUUGGGCUUCCUGAUCAGAAGGUCGGCAGUUCAAAUCUGCACAACAGGGUGAGCUCCCGUUGCUCUGUCCCAGCUCCUGCCUACCUAGCAGUUCGAAAGCACACCAGUGCGAGUAGAUAAAUAGGUACCACUGUGGCGGGAAGGUAAACGGCGUUUCCAUGCGCUCUGGUUUCCAUCAUGGUGUUCCGUUGUGCCAGUAGUGUUUUAGUCAUGCUGGCCACAUGACCUGGAAAGCUGUCUGUUGACAAAUGCCAGCUCCCUCGGCCUGAAAGCGAGAUGAGCACCACAACCCCAUUAUUGCCUUUGAAUGGACUUAACCGUUCAGGGGUCCUUUACCUUUACCUUUACCUUUACCUCCUCCAUGAAUCUGACUGAUUUUCUUUCAAAGCCAUAUAAGUUGGUGGCUAAUACUGCCUCCAGUGGCAGUGAGUUCCAUAGUUUAAUAGCACUAUGGGCAGUUAGAUUGAACCGCAUGCCGAAUGGCAAAACCACAGCAGAGAGACAGUUACAAACUCCACCGGGAGGCCAUUCUUUCAAUGCCGACACAGCAUAUUUUUGGAUUCGUCAGCAUUGUUCCGGCUCUUAUUUUAGAUUAUUUCCACCGAGCCAACCUUGUCAUGGCUAUUACUUUGAAAUGGGUGGUCAAAGAAGUAAAUAAAUAAAAAUAAAUGCAUGAUAUGCUCUCUCUCUCUCUCUCUCUCUCUCUCUCUCUCUCUCUCUGUCUCUGCUUUUUUGCGCUUCUCGGUUCCAGGAAAUCUAUGGGAGAAGCCCAGCCAGCAAAGUGCCAUUGAAUCCUUGUUGAAGACAAGUGCUCAUGAAGUCAUUUUAACAAGCUCCAGAUAAUGCAUCCAGCUGACAUUUAAAAGGAAUAACAAUUAAAACUGAUUAAAUUAAAAUGUCAACAUUUGGUAGAUACUUGAAGGCUGUGUUCCUUUCUCUCUCCUUUUAAAAACAAAACCUUUUAAAAUCCCACUUAACAAGUCAAUGAAAUGAAUGAUCUAGAAAGCCAAAACCUUAAAAUGGUAUUUUAAAACUAUGUCUAUGUCCUGACUCCUUAGAAGGUAUUUUUGAUCUAGCUAUACAGAUUUUAAAGUUAUAUAUAGAUUAAGAUUAAGGAUUAGGAUUAAAAAAGUUAAAGGAAAUGGAAAUUUGGCUUUUAAGAAGUAAAAAUUUAAUGUUAUAUUAUAUUAAGAUUAAGGAUUGGGAUUAAAAAAGAGGGAAAGAAAUUGCUGGACAAACAAAUUGAACUGGAAUACAAUAGAGGGAGGUAUGAGGAGGUCCAGAAAAUAAGUAAACUUAAAAGUGGUGAUGAAAAGGUGGUAUUGUUUUUAACUGUUUUCUUUUCUGUCUUUUCUUUUCUUUUCUUUUUUUGGAUUAUGUAUUGUGUAUUUUUGAAUUGUGUGUUUUUCUUUUUUCUUUUUAAUUUUUUGUUAAUUGAUGUGUUCUUUUUAUUGGAAACCCUAAUAAAUAUCAUUAAAAAAAAAUAGAAGGUAUUUUUGAGACCACUUGGGGGGGGGGUGUCUUUCUAUCUCUUUAUUGUGCAUACUGCUUAGAGACUUUUCUGAUUAAGUGGUCUUUACAUUUUUUAAAAUAAAAUCUAGGCCUUGUUGGUGGUGCCUGGUUGGUGAUUACCCAUGACAGGGCCUUUUCAAUGAUGGCUCCCUUGUUGUGGAAUGCCAUCACUAGUGAGAUGUGCGGUUCUCAAUCAUUAUUAACUUUCAGGAGGAAUUUGAAAAUAUGGCUGAUCAGACCCUCCAAGCGUUAGGGCGGUUCAUAAAAAAACUUUUUUUUUAAAAAAAAUGCCUGCUCCAAAGGUCUUAUCUUACUACACUAGGGAUUAUAUAGCUAUAUCUGAAAUUUCAUGCAUAUCAGUUAAUAUCUUGACCCUGCUCCACUGAAUUGAAAUUUCAGCCUUCACGACAUAGGAAAACGGCCAAGUAAACAGCUAUUUUCGUGGAGGAGGGUCAAGAUAUUAACUGAUGUGCAUGAAAUUUCAGAUAUAGCUACAUAAUCCCUAGUGUAGUAAGAUAAGACCUUUGG
Molecule: non-coding RNA, 8544 nt
Organism: Podarcis lilfordi (Lilford's wall lizard)
Lineage: Eukaryota; Metazoa; Chordata; Lepidosauria; Squamata; Lacertidae
Source: the annotation of a GenBank genome assembly